This 200-nucleotide ribosomal RNA is filed under the name uncultured bacterium. Its description in RNAcentral is "partial 16S ribosomal RNA". It matches the Rfam family "Bacterial small subunit ribosomal RNA", at positions 8 to 238 of the family's 1533-position model. The record is from RNAcentral.
AGAGUUUGAUCCUGGCUCAGAGCGAACGCUGGCGGCAGGCCUAAUACAUGCAAGUCGAACGCACCUUCGGGUGAGUGGCGGACGGGUGAGUAACACGUGGGAACGUGCCCUUUGGUUCGGAAUAAGCCGGGGAAACCUGGUCUAAUACCGAAUGUGCCCUAUGGGGGAAAGAUUUAUCGCCAUUGGAGCGGCCCGCGUCU